RNAcentral lists this ribosomal RNA (138 nucleotides) under uncultured bacterium. RNAcentral describes it as "partial 16S ribosomal RNA". It matches the Rfam family "Bacterial small subunit ribosomal RNA", at positions 370 to 524 of the family's 1533-position model. The record is from RNAcentral.
AAUGGGACGAAAGUCUGAUGCAGCAACGCCGCGUGGAGGAUGACACAUUUCGGUGCGUAAACUCCUUUUAUAUGAGAAGAUAAUGACGGUAUUAUAUGAAUAAGCACCGGCUAACUCCGUGCCAGCAGCCGCGGUAAU